RNAcentral lists this ribosomal RNA (697 nucleotides) under uncultured Malasseziales. RNAcentral's name for it is "eukaryotic LSU rRNA". The stretch from base 231 to 384 matches the Rfam family "5.8S ribosomal RNA". Lineage: Eukaryota; Fungi; Basidiomycota; Malasseziomycetes; Malasseziales. The record is from RNAcentral.
ACCUGCAGAAGGAUCAUUAGUGAAGAUUUGGGCAGGCCAUACGGACGCCAAAAAGUGUCCCUGGCCGCCUACACCCACUAUACAUCCACAAACCCGUGUGCACUGUCUUGGAGAAAGGCUUCAGAGAAGUUUUUUGUGGCCUCUCUUGGGGUCUUUCUUCGCUACAAACUCGAAUGGUUAGUAUGAACGUGGAACUUGGUUGGACCGUCACUGGCCAACAAACUAUACACAACUUUCGACAACGGAUCUCUUGGUUCUCCCAUCGAUGAAGAACGCAGCGAAACGCGAUAGGUAAUGUGAAUUGCAGAAUUCCGUGAAUCAUCGAAUCUUUGAACGCACCUUGCGCUCUAUGGCAAUCCGUAGAGCAUGCCUGUUUGAGUGCCAUGAAAUCUCCCACCCCAAGCGGUUUUUAAAUGAAACGGCUUGGCGGAUGGGGUCUGGAUGGGUGCCUCUGCCUGCGCUACCUAGCACAGGCUCGCCCGAAAUGCAUGAGCGCCUGAGACACUUUGCAUCCGCCUCUCUGUUUGGGAGGAGGCGGCCAAGCAGUGUUUUUCUCCUGGCAUGGCAUGAUACGUCAUUUGCUAUGUCGCCUAAAGGAGGAAUGUUUGGUUGUGUCUGCGUGUGCUUCGAACUUGCCUCUGUGGCACAUCCCAAUUUCACUUCUGGUCUCAAAUCAGGUAGGAUCACCCGCUGAACU